Molecule: ribosomal RNA, 467 nt
Filed under: uncultured bacterium
Lineage: Bacteria
Description: partial 16S ribosomal RNA
Rfam family: Bacterial small subunit ribosomal RNA
Source: RNAcentral
ACGCACGCUGGCGGCGUGCUUAACACCUGCCAGUCGAACUGAAAGGCCCUGCUUUUGUGGGGUGCUCGAGUGGCGAACGGGUGAGUAACACGUGAGUAACCUGCCCUUGACUUUGGGAUAACUUCAGGAAACUGGGGCUAAUACCGGAUAGGAGCUCCUGCUGCAUGGUGGGGGUUGGAAAGUUUCGGCGGUUGGGGAUGGACUCGCGGCUUAUCCGCUUGUUGGUGGGGUAGUGGCUUACCAAGGCUUUGACGGGUAGCCGGCCUGAGAGGGUGACCGGCAAAAUGGGGACUGAGAUACGGCCCAGACUCCUACGGGAGGCAGAAGUGGGGAAUAUUGCACAAUGGGCGGAAGCCUGAUGCAGCAACGCCGCGUGCGGGAUGACGGCCUUCGGGUUGUAAACCGCUUUCGCCUGUGACGAAGCGUGAGUGACGGUAAUGGGUAAAGAAGCACCGGCUAACUACGUG